GACGAAGGAUGCAAGCGUUAUCCGGAUUCAUUGGGUUUAAAGGGAGCGUAGGUGGCCUUAUAAGUCAGUGGUGAAAUCUCUGGGCUUAACCCAGAAAUUGCCAUUGAUACUGUAGGGCUUGAGUAUAGAUGCCGUUGGCGGAAUAUGACAUGUAGUGGUGAAAUACAUAGAGAUGUCAUAGAACACCGAUUGCGAAGGCAGCUAACGAAACUAUAACUGACACUGAGGCUCGAAAGUGCGGGGAUCAAACAGG
Molecule: ribosomal RNA, 253 nt
Filed under: uncultured bacterium
Lineage: Bacteria
Description: partial 16S ribosomal RNA
Rfam family: Bacterial small subunit ribosomal RNA
Source: RNAcentral